UACGUAGGGUGCGAGCGUUGUCCGGAAUUAUUGGGCGUAAAGAGCUUGUAGGCGGUUUGUCGCGUCUGCCGUGAAAAUUCGAGGCUCAACCUCGAACUUGCGGUGGGUACGGGCAGACUAGAGUGUGGUAGGGGAGACUGGAAUUCCUGGUGUAGCGGUGAAAUGCGCAGAUAUCAGGAGGAACACCGAUGGCGAAGGCAGGGUCUCUGGGCAUUAACUGACGCUGAGGAGCGAAAGCAUGGGGAGCGAACAGG
Molecule: ribosomal RNA, 254 nt
Filed under: uncultured bacterium
Lineage: Bacteria
Description: partial 16S ribosomal RNA
Rfam family: Bacterial small subunit ribosomal RNA
Source: RNAcentral